UACGUAGGGUGCAAGCGUUGUCCGGAAUUAUUGGGCGUAAAGAGCUCGUAGGCGGUCUGUCGCGUCUGCUGUGAAACUCAGGGCUUAACCCUGAGCUUGCAGUGGGUACGGGCAGACUAGAGUGCGGUAGGGGAGACUGGAAUUCCUGGUGUAGCGGUGAAAUGCGCAGAUAUCAGGAGGAACACCGGUGGCGAAGGCGGGUCUCUGGGCCGUAACUGACGCUGGAGGAGCGAAAGCCAUGGGGAGCGAACAGG
This 254-nucleotide ribosomal RNA is filed under the name uncultured bacterium. RNAcentral describes it as "partial 16S ribosomal RNA". It matches the Rfam family "Bacterial small subunit ribosomal RNA", at positions 524 to 776 of the family's 1533-position model. The record is from RNAcentral.